CUCUCAUUUAUGUCAUGUUCAGCCAAAUUUAGUCAGUUUAAAUAAGCUAAUUGGAGAUAUCGAUAAUAGCUUAGUUCAUUAAAGCUAACAUACCUCAAUGUGCUCUUUUAUUCUUUUACUCUGUCUAUCGUCAGACAAUUUUACACAUCAAGGGCAUUGCAGAUUAAGCAUUGCAACUUAAAUUAAUUAAUUAAUUAAUUAAUUAAUAAGGUG
Molecule: non-coding RNA, 213 nt
Organism: Paramuricea clavata
Lineage: Eukaryota; Metazoa; Cnidaria; Anthozoa; Malacalcyonacea; Plexauridae
Source: the annotation of a GenBank genome assembly